GUGGGGAAUAUUGGACAAUGGGCGAAAGCCUGAUCCAGCCAUGCCGCGUGUGUGAAGAAGGUCUUCGGAUUGUAAAGCACUUUAAGUUGGGAGGAAGGGCAGUAAGUUAAUACCUUGCUGUUUUGACGUUACCAACAGAAUAAGCACCGGCUAACUUCGUGCCAGCAGCCGCGGUAAUACGAAGGGUGCAAGCGUUAAUCGGAAUUACUGGGCGUAAAGCGCGCGUCAGUGGUUCAGCAAGUUGAAGGUGAAAUCCCCGGGCUCAACCUGGGAACUGCCUCCAAAACUACUGAGCUAGAGUACGGUAGAGGGUAGUGGAAUUUCCUGUGUAGCGGUGAAAUGCGUAGAUAUAGGAAGGAACACCAGUGGCGAAGGCGACUACCUGGACUGAUACUGACACUGAGGUGCGAAAGCGUGGGGAGCAAACAGGAUUAGAAACCCUUGUAGUCC
Molecule: ribosomal RNA, 450 nt
Filed under: uncultured bacterium
Lineage: Bacteria
Description: partial 16S ribosomal RNA
Rfam family: Bacterial small subunit ribosomal RNA
Source: RNAcentral